This 301-nucleotide ribosomal RNA is filed under the name uncultured bacterium. Its description in RNAcentral is "partial 16S ribosomal RNA". It matches the Rfam family "Bacterial small subunit ribosomal RNA", at positions 509 to 808 of the family's 1533-position model. The record is from RNAcentral.
CAGUAGCCGCGGGAAUACGUAGGGGGCGAGCGUUGUCCGAAGUUACUGGGCGUAAAGCGCGCGUAGGCGGCUUCUUAAGUCUGAGGUGAAAGGUUCAACGCUUAACGUGAACAGUGCCUUGGAUACUGGGGAGCUUGAGUAUGGGAGAGGGCAGUGGAAUGGCUGGUGUAGCGGUGAAAUGCGUAGAUAUCAGUCGGAACACCCAUGGCGAAGGCAGCUGCCUGGCCUAAUACUGACGCUGAGGUGCGAAAGCGUGGGGAGCGGACGGGAUUAGAUACCCCAGUAGUCCCUGUCUCUUAUU